CCUACGGGAGGCAGCAGUGAGGAAUAUUGGUCAAUGGCCGGAAGGCUGAACCAGCCAUGCCGCGUGAAGGUCAGUGCCCUAUGGGCGUUAAACUUCUUUUGUGCGGGAGCAAUAAUGGUCACGUGUGGCCAGACGAGAGUACCGUACGAAUAAGCAUCGGCUAACUCCGUGCCAGCAGCCGCGGUAAUACGGGGGAUGCAAGCGUUAUCCGGAUUUAUUGGGUUUAAAGGGUGCGUAGGCUGUGAGGUAAGUCAGCGGUGAAAUGCCCCCGCUCAACGGGGUGAAGUGCCAUUGAUACUGCCUGGCUGGAAUGCGGAUGCCGUGGGAGGAAUGUGUGGUGGAGCGGUGAAAUGCAUAGAUAUCACACAGAACACCGAUUGCGAAGGCAUCUCACGAAUCCGCGAUUGACGCUGAUGCACGAAAGCGUGGGUAUCAAACAGGAUUAGAUACCCCAGUAGUC
This 460-nucleotide ribosomal RNA is filed under the name uncultured bacterium. Its description in RNAcentral is "partial 16S ribosomal RNA". It matches the Rfam family "Bacterial small subunit ribosomal RNA", at positions 338 to 795 of the family's 1533-position model. The record is from RNAcentral.